AAACGUACUCCCAGAGCCUUCGAUAAUUUUUGCUAUGGCGGCUCAGGGAGUGCAUAUGCACCCCUUCAUAAACACAAUCUGAGUUUUGUGCACAGAUUUUAUGCGCAUCACUUAACAGACGUUGUUAAUUACCAAUUAAGAAAAGAAGGUCAACAUGGGACCAAAGAAAGUCAGCAACUCCUUAAACAGUGCAACAAAAACUGAAGAAAAUCAGUCACAGCCACAGCCAGUGAAGAGACAACGACCAGAUAGCAACAAGUCAUCAGUGAACAAUGUAGCCUCUUCAUCUAGUCCCAAUAGCAAGACAUUCCUAUUGGUUGCUUUGUCAUUGCUAGUGGCAACCACGGCAGUGAUACUCACCAAUGAUGAUGUGAAGAUGUUUCUAAUUCAGUUCACAUCUAUCGGGUCCAACACUUUGGAAGAGGUCGCCAAAUAUACAGAUAGUGCACAAUAUGUUGAGGAAGAAACGGAGGCUGUGAGUGAAAAGUCUAGUCAAACACAUGAUAUAGGAAAAGACUCUGCUAAAAGAAGCAAGCUUCAUGCAUCCAGUCCUGUUGAAUCAGGUACGAAAGGUGAAAAACUUGAAAAAGAAUCGGAUGAUCAGGAAACAAGGGAAGGUGUGAAUAACAUUGCAACACAAUCUGUUAAAGUAGAUGAAGUCCUGACUGAAGGUUCUGAUACAAAAAAUGUUGAGAAAGAUCACACUGAAAGUGAUGAGGCAGAUAAGGAAAUCAAGAAAGAAUCCGAAGAAGAUCAGAAAGCUAAGUCAAAGAGGGAGUCUUAUGAAAACAGUGCCAUAACAAGUAAAGGGGAUUUCAAGAUAAGGAAGAGAUUGGACGAAGCUGAUAAAGCAUUACAAAUGGGUGAGCUGAAAAAGGCUCUAGAUCUGUUUGAUGACAUCCUUAAGAACAAGUCACAGAGCCCAAGAGCUUUAUGGGGUAAAGGCCAGGUAUUAGACAAACUUGCUGAGCAACAGAAAAGCAACAAGAUGCUAGAGGAGGGCAUGGCAUUGAUGGACAAGGCCUUGAGGCUGUCAAAGACUCCCGAUCUGCUCCGCAUGAGGAUUGCAGAGAAAUUGGGCGAUCGGCAGGCAUUCAGAGGUUGGUCGCGCAAGGAAGCCGAAACUUGGAGGUACAUGAUGGAGCGUUACCCAAACAUGCCAGAGUUUCCACACAAACUGGGGACCAGCUACUUGAAAACAGGCCAAAACGAACUGGCUCGGGAACUAUUCACAAACUUAUUGAAGGAGAAUCCAGAAGACGGAUUUUCGUUGGUUCAUCUAGGUUUCAUACUAAAAAUUACUGACCUGAACUACACAGGGGCCAUACCCAUGUUGCAAAAAGGCAUUGAUUCUAGACAGCCGGGCACUCUUGACGGUCGAUUCUUUUACCAUCUUGGCGAUGCUUAUAUGAGAACAAGCAAUAACGAAAUGGCGCGUAAGGUUUAUCAAGAAGGGGCCAAGGCGGGGUUAUUUCUAUCUGCCGAUCAGCGAUCACUGUACAACGCCGAGACGAAGAUAACCGGCCGUCCAUGGUGGACACCAGCGGAAACCACGUACCUGAAAUAUCUAACGAUAUUGGAGAAUAAUUGGGAGACUAUUCGCGAUGAAGGUUUGGCGCAGCUGGAUCAGACGACAGGAUCGUUUAGUCCCGAGGAAGAGAACCUACGGGAAACUGGCGACUGGAAACAAUUUACUUUGUAUCAGAGAGGACGUAAAAACGAAAACCACUGCAGAAAGGUGCCCAGAACCUGUGCCCUACUUGACCAGAUUCCAGAAGCCAAUGGCUGCCGGCGAGGGCAAAUCAAGUACUCCGUCAUGCAUCCAGGGGUGCACGUGUGGCCUCAUACUGGGCCCACAAACUGUAGAAUUAGGGCCCACCUGGGGCUUAAGGUGCCGCAAGGACCGAGGAUACGAGUGGGCAACGAGACCAGGACGUGGAAAGAAGGCAAGUUUAUCAUAUUUGACGACUCUUUCGAGCACGAGGUCUGGCACGACGGCAUCGACUUCCGGUUGGUCCUUAUCGUCGACUUCUGGCACCCGGAAAUUCCGGAACAUGAACGCCGCUCUUUGUCGCCGAUUUAAAUUGCUGCGGUGAUUCAAAAAAAAAUAUUAACGUCAUAUUUGACUUAUUCAUAAAGUCCAGUCAUACAAUAACAAUAUGUGUGUCUGUAUAGAAAUGACUUUUUCUUACAUGGGCAAAUUCAUAGAAAGGCAAAAUGACCAAUUUUAAAACGCAUGUAAUAGAUUCCUUAACGAAUGAUUGAUAAAUAUUUAAGACAUACGGGCAGUCAUUUAUUUAAAUGUCACACAUUGUUUAGCAAGUGUAAUGGUCUUCAACGUUAUUUACAUGCCAAAUAGCAUAACACUUAAAAAAUUAUUUUUUAUCUUUUUUAGAUGUUUAUUUUACAAUUUCGCGUGUUAAACCUGUCUGCCUAACUCAGAGGUCAAUGUCACACUUAAUAGAGGUCAAAUGUUAAAGUUGGCCUGAACACAGCUUGUCCGGGCUGUAAAAUUGUCAUUCAUUUUACAAUUUUAAGAUAAUUUUUCACAAAUAAUUAAGAUAACUUUCCAUAAAUAAGCAUCAUGAGGAGACUCAGUGUCUCAUGCGUAACCCGCCCCAUUACUUCAAAGAUUAAAGUCAAACUCAGGGGUAAGACGUAAAGUUUAGCGUUAACAUAUUGUUUGUUUUUUUACAUAAGUGGAAUUUUGUGACAAGUUGAACAAAUAGGCAUUAGUGCCGCAUGGUUACAUUUGCUGUUUAGUCAAGAAUUGGCCUUUCUGAAUAAUGCUCUGUCUGUUGGAAAGCAAACCGGAUUCAUUCAUACAUUAUCAGUGCUUAUUCCACAUAUAGUUAUAUGCAUUUUUCUACCAGAAAAAGUGUGAUGUAGUGAUUCAGGAGAGUAUUAUAGUAUGUAUAUGUAGACAGUUGUUUUAUUGCCAAUUUUCAUUGGUGUUUUUGUUAUAUUGCUAUCAGUUAUAUAAUUAUGUAAAAUUGCAAAGUCCCUUGCCAUAAAGUUUGCCGAUUUUGUUUAAAGUCCCCGUUCGCGGAGAUAUUUAUGGGCAGAAUCGUAAGAAAACGUGUUUUUUAUUGAGGAUAUCACUGAAAAUCCGGUUGAAAUCGGUUGAAAACAAACAGUAUAGCGUUUUUUAUUUUUGGGUCGUGUACGGUAAAGUACGAAAACGACCUAAUUAAUAUUCAUGAGUCGACAAGUUUAUUCAAACCUAAACAAACAAAAUUGCGGAUACGGGCGCAUUUAGCGAAGCGAAUGUAACAACAAAUGCAAAUGCAUCUGUUACAGAUGGAAACUGAGUUGCAACGCUAUGUUUUUUGCUUAAUCUAUGUAUUUUUCUUCCAUAUGCUAUUAAUGUUUAGCGAAAGCUAAAUAGCAUAACUCAUGACGCUGCAAUGAUUUUCGCCUAGUGCAUGUAUUUUUGAUCAUUUAUAUAUUAUUUUAUUGAUUCAAAACCGAUUUUGUCCAGGUUUUCGAUGUCAACCUCGAUAAAAAUAUAGUUCAAUAAAUUUAUGAAGUUUAUUUGUCGCUAUAAGAUUUAUAUGAAAAACAACGAUAUAUUCCGCAAACGGUGACUUUAAAUACUGCGCUGGUACAACGAUGCUCAACCACAGUUACCCGACACCGACCAUUUUGCAAAUUCGUUUAAAGCUUAAAUGUCCGAAUUUCUUGAUAUUUUGUCAUCUUCUAAUCUCUUUAUUAUAACCACCGCGCAACGAAGCAAAUGGAUCAUCUUGAUAAACCAUUGACACAUGCCCAUUGGUCCAUCUAUUUGUCUGCAAACAUAAUCUCAUUCACUUUUGCAAAGUAAAAACUAUAAUGGAUUAUUCUUUAUUGUUGUUAGCUUUGCCUGCGCAAUUUAAAUUAUUAUAGGUUUGAAUUGUUUAAGUCUUGGGCCCUGUCAAUCUAAUGAGUACAUGCUAAUAAUAGCGCUCUCCAAUUUGCGACAUAAGGCGCUGGGGAGUGGGUAUUCGGAACGAUUUGUAAUAGUAUCAUUGCAUUUACUUACGAAACACGUGUUCGAAUAAAAGAAAGGGUAUUAAAAUAGGAAACCUGGGCCCGUAUUCGACAUCAUUUUUAACCAGGUUACCGAAGGAAAAAACUGGUUAUUAGAUUGGCGAAUGUCUGCGGGCGGGCUGGCGGGCGGGCGGAACAAGCUUGUCCGGGCCAUAACUUUGUCGUUCAUUGUCAGAUUUUAAAAUCAAUCGGCACAUUUGUUCACCAUCAUUAGACGGUGUGUCGCGCGAAAGAAUUACGUUGAUAUCUCCAAGGUCAAGGUCACAAUUUGAGUUUGAAGGUCAAAAAUGGCCAUAAAUGAGCUUGUCCGGGCCAUUACUUUGUGAUUCAUUGUGAGAUUUUAACAUCAUUUGACACAUGUGUUCACCAUUAUUAGACGGUGAGUCGCGCAAAAGAAUUACGUCAAUAUCUCCAAGGUCAAGGUCGCCACAACUAAAAAUAGAUUUUGAAACAACUAUGUAAUUAUGAACAAUCAGAAACAAUGCACAUUUUGAUUUUAAGUUGUCUCUCUUUAUCAGACUUUUUAUGCCCCCGGUAGGGUGGCAUAUAGCAGUUGAACUGUCCGUCAGUAUGUCAGUAUGUGUGUAUGUCAGUCUGUCCGUCCGUCCGUCCGUCCGAAAAAAACACUUUAACGUUGGGCCAUAACUUUUGCAAUAUUGAAGUUAGAAACUUGAUAUUUGGCAUGCAUGUGUAUCUCAUGAAGCUCCAUAUUUUGAGUAUUGGAUGUUCAAGGUCAAGGUCAUCCUUCAAAGUCAAAGGUAAAAAAAAAAAAUCAAAGCGGCGCAAUAGGGGGCAUUGUGUUUCUGACGAACACAUUUCUUUUUUUUAAAUUGAAAUCAAGGUCAAUUUUACACAAGGGGGUUAACAAUACACAUUUUGAAUUGUCUCCCUUUAUCAGACUUUUUUCAACUGAAAACCUGGUUUUGUGACAAUUUUUGUCCCUUGUCAUAGACUUUGAAGCAAUAAAAUUACGUCCAGCGAUUGAAUACAUGUAUAUUAAGUCUAUUACUGUUGAUAAUGCCAUUGAAAAAAACUGUUCUACGUGAAGAAUGAUAUGAUGUAGAUUGGGGUGGAUUUUGGAGUUCGACUCAAAAGUAAAGCUCUUCGGGUGUAUUCUUUAUUAAGACUUAAUUCUUAGAAUUGUUUCGGUGAAUACAUGCCUUGAACUCUAUUUGAUUGUCAAACAUGUUCAGUGUCAGGUUACCCCCUCCGAGCUCUCGUGAUAUCGUGUUUAUUUGUUUCAUGUUAUGUGUUAAUAUGUUGACGUCUUUAUUUUACCAGGAAGUCAGUUUAUACCCCCACGAUCAGGUUUUCAGGAAGCGACUUUCAGUUGUUGUGCUUUGCCACUUAUAUUUCAUUCCAAGAAAUGAAAGAAUUUGUAAAUUGUGUACACUUUAUGCAAUUGAAGAUGAAUACCAUUUUGUUUUGAUAUGUCUUUUAUAUGAUAAAUUUAGAAAUACACUUAUACCUGAUGUUUACAGAAGAAGAUCAAGUAUGUUUAAUUUUUUACAAUUAUUGAAAUUCAGAAUGUGACCAAAAACUCUAUACUGAUUCGUCUUGCUAAUUUGUGUAUUAAAGCAUUUACACUUAGAGCCGAAUAUAUAUAAAGAAUAUUUUUUCCUGAGAUUUGCAAGUUUGUAUAUGAUAUCUCACUGCAUAUUUUUUCUCAAUCAAUUCCGGAUUUUGAACAUCCACUUAACGUUAUUUUAAAGAAAAAGUAAAAAGUCUUCUCUUACAUUUGACAUUAACAUUCUCACAAAACAUAUAUUAGUAAAAUGCAUAAACAAAAUUGUUGUUAUUUUGACGUAUGUGUAUUUAUUAUUGCUUUAUUGUUAUUUUGACGAUGUGAUGUAUAUUAUUAAGUCGUAAAUAACCUAUCUGAUCUGUUCUAGAAUGACAUUUUUUUAACUCAAAGUAUAAUGUCUUUUAUAUAUUUUCCUUCUUUAAAGUAUAAUACCAGAAACAACAUCGCUAUUUAAAUACGACUGUAGAUAAUUGUUGAACGUUUGAAAAUGUAAGAAUAACAUGAUGCUGUUUUUUUGUUCAAUUGUGUUUUACGAUUGUAUAGUUUUCAAAAUAAAACGCCGUUGCAAGAAAAAAAAGGAGCAAUUUAACGUUUACAAAUUAAAAAAAAAAAGAUGGUGAAUAAUUGUUUAUAGUUUUAAAACUUGGCUGUGUCUUUGUUAUAAUUUCAAAUUUUUGUCACCUAAAUUGAAGAAAUCAAUUCAAAUAAAUUUUAUUUUUUAUAAUACUUGAACAAUACUUUGAGAUAUCUAAAACGACGAAAAUAGUGGCGUAUAAUUUACAAAAGUUGAUAAAUUCAAAGGCUCGACACAAAACCUGCAUUAAGUGGCGCUUAAUAGCCCAUAUUUAUUAUACACACAUUUGCAUUUUCCAUGCCAGUAAUGUUUUAAACGUCUCUACGCACACAAGUAUAAGGCAAUUCACGUAAUGCUUUUUUACCAGAUGUGUAUCUGUGAAUUGUAUUUAUUUGUACCAUGUACGUUUAUAAAAACGUGUAACAUAUGUAUGGUACACUUGCUUAGAGAUGAAACCGGAGUAAUAUUUAGUUAAAACCAUUCAACAUUACGCGCGCAUUAUAUGUGUAAUGAUUUCUCUGACAUUUACCUUAUUAUUAAGGCUUUUUAGUUGACCUGAUUGCUCAGGUAAGCUUUUCUGACCGGUCUUUGUCCGCCGUACGUCCGUCCGUCCGUUAACAUUUGCUCGUAAACACUCUAGAGGCCACAUUUCUUUUCCCAUCUUCAUGAAACUUGGUCAGAAGCUUUGCCCCAAUAAAAUCUCGGCCGAGUUCGAAACUGGGUUGUGCCGGGUCAAAAACUAGGUCACUAGGUAAAAAAAGCAAACCUUGUAGACAUUGUAGAAGUCACAUUUUAUGUUCAAUCUUCAUGUAAUUAUGUCAAAAUGUUUGUCUUAAUGAUAUAUUGACUGAGUUCAAAAGUGGUUCCGGUGUAUUGAAAACCAUGGCCGCCAGUGGGCGGGGCAGUUUUCCUUAUUUGGCUAUAGAGAAACAUUGUAAACACUCUAGAAGUCACAAUUUUUGCCCAAUCAUCAUGAAAGGUGGUCAAAACAUUGAUUUAAUUGAUAUAUCGGACGAGUUCGAAAAUGGUACAAAUCGGUGAAAAAACAUGGCCGCCAGUGGGCGGGGCAUUUUUCUCUAUAUGUAUUUAGUGACAGUUUUCCCUAUUUGGCUAUAGAGAAACCUUGUUAACACUAUAGAAGUCACAAUUUUUGUCAAAUCAUCAUGAAAGUUUGUCAAAACAUUGGUUUUAUUGAUAUCUCGGACGAGUUCGAAAAUAGUCCAGAUCGGUGAAAAACAUGGCCGCCAGUGGGCGGGGCAUUUUUCUUUAUAUGUAUAUAGUGGCAGUUUUCCCUAUUUGGCUAUAGAGAAACCUUGUAAACACUCUAGAAGUCACAAUUGUUUGCCCAAUCAUCAUGAAAGUUGGUCAAAACAUUGGUUUUAUUGAUAUCUUGGACGAGUUCGACAAUGGUUCGGAUCGGUGAAAAAACAUGGCCGCCAGUGGGCGAGGUAUUUUCCUCUAUAUGUAUAAAGUGAAAACGUUAACACUAGAAGACACAUUUUUGACCUGUAUUGACUUUCAGGUCACUAGGUCAAGGUCACGGUUACUUGACACAGUAAAAUGGUUUUUGGAUGAUAACUCAAGAAAGCUUACGCCUAGGAUCAUGAAACAAUAUAAUGGUCAAGUUGAUAUAUUUUUUUUAUUAAAUCAAUCAAAAAUGGAAUUUAUCAUGUAGAUGUUUUGGACAUCUUAUAACUUUGUUAUCCAUCUGACAUAUGUGCAUUAUAAUCAUUGCAUCUUUUUUAAAGAUGUUUGUGAUUUAAAUUUUUGUUUGCUUUGGUAAUUUAACACAAAGCACUAAAUUGACAAUUUUCAGACAGACUAACAGUGGGCUGACCUUGAGACGAUGCAAGAUGGAAUGUAAUUUAUUUGUUUGUUUUGUAAUUAAAAAUCUUAACACGUCAACUAUGAAAACACUAUACAAUUAGUAUUUUGUUAUCAGACUAGGACACUACAGUUCAUAUGUGCUCUAAAAUCUACAAGUACACUAGAACAAACACACGCAACUCAAUUUGAUAUUAACCCAUUGAUGCCUAACAUUGAUUAUGAGAGAGAGGAAGGAAUGAGUCAUGCUUAAGGAUACACACAUUGAUUGUUUAUGAAGUUAAUGUAUUGGAUCAGGAAUAACAUUUUGCUGUAAUUUGUUGGUGUGUGAGCUCUGGUCAACAGGCUAUGUUUAAAGAAGAUAUUAUCAAUGGAUAUAUGCUACUGCUGAUAAAGGGUUCUAAAAUAUACAGCUACAUGUACCAAAUUUAGGUUUGGAAUGUAAAUUGCUAACUGUUCGCUACAUUGAUCAUGACUCACCAAUGACCUGUAUUGAUCUUCUCAUCACUAGGUCAAAGAAGGCAGUCACAGUGAUUCAAAAUGCAAAUUGGUUUUCAAAUGAUAACUCAGAAACACUUUCACCUAAGAUAAAGACUUCAUAGGUACAUUGAUCAUAAUUAUAAAAAUACCCCUUUUGAAUUUCAAAUCACUACAUCAAAGAUCAACAUCACAGUGACUCAAAACAAUAAAAUUGUUUCUUGAUAUUUACUGACAAUACUUACGCCUAGAUUCAUGAUCUUCAUAGUUACAUUGAUCAUGACUGGCAGAUGACCAACAUAAUGUUCAAGUCACUAGGUCAAACGUCUUAAUAACAAUGACUCAACACUGUAAAAUGGUGUCCAGAUGACAACUCAAGAAACCAAGGUCAAAAGUCAAAGUCACAAUGACUAAUAUAUUCAUGUUCACACAAUGGCUGCCAUUACAACUGACAGCCCAUAUGCAGACAUGCAUUUUUUACAAACAGCCUCAUACAUUUGGUAAAAAUUCAAUGAACACACUCUUCUCAUGUGAGCGAACUAGGACCAUCGUGGCCCUCUUGUUUAUUCAUAGUGUUUAAAUUGUAGCAUUGUUUCACUGUAGUUUAAUGUGGCAUACAAUUACAUAUUAACGCACGUUCAAUGUUCAAUGGUUUUAAAGGAAUAGUAAGUGCAAUAAAUGUAUUUUUAUA
Molecule: RNA transcript, 9120 nt
Organism: Dreissena polymorpha
Lineage: Eukaryota; Metazoa; Mollusca; Bivalvia; Myida; Dreissenidae
Gene name: aspartyl/asparaginyl beta-hydroxylase-like
Exons: 12
Source: RefSeq, a predicted model, not a curated record